This 481-nucleotide ribosomal RNA is filed under the name uncultured bacterium. RNAcentral's name for it is "partial 16S ribosomal RNA". It matches the Rfam family "Bacterial small subunit ribosomal RNA", at positions 32 to 506 of the family's 1533-position model. The record is from RNAcentral.
AACGCUGGCGACAUGCCUUACACAUGCAAGUCGAACGGCAGCACGGGUGCUUGCACCUGGUGGCGAGUGGCGAACGGGUGAGUAAUACAUCGGAACAUGUCCUGUAGUGGGGGAUAGCCCGGCGAAAGCCGGAUUAAUACCGCAUACGAUCUACGGAUGAAAGCGGGGGACCUUCGGGCCUCACGCUAUAGGGUUGGCCGAUGGCUGAUUAGCUAGUUGGUGGGGUAAAGGCCUACCAAGGCGACGAUCAGUAGCUGGUCUGAGAGGACGACCAGUCACACUGGGACUGAGACACGGCCCAGACUCCUACGGGAGGCAGCAGUGGGGAAUUUUGGACAAUGGGCGAAAGCCUGAUCCAGCAAUGCCGCGUGUGUGAAGAAGGCCUUCGGGUUGUAAAGCACUUUUGUCCGGAAAGAAAUCCUUGGCCCUAAUACGGUCGGGGGAUGACGGUACCGGAAGAAUAAACACCGGCUAACUACGU